GUGACAGGAUGCGAAUCUCGAAAGCCGGUCUCAGUUCGGAUUGGAGGCUGAAACUCGCCUCCAUGAAGUUGGAUUCGCUAGUAAUCGCGCAUCAGCCAUGGCGCGGUGAAUACGUUCCCGGGCCUUGUACACACCGCCCGUCAAGCCAUGGGAGUUGGGGGUGCCUGAAGUACGUGACCGCAAGGAGCGUCCUAGGGCAAAACCGAUGACUGGGGCUAAGUCGUAACAAGGUACC
Molecule: ribosomal RNA, 235 nt
Filed under: uncultured bacterium
Lineage: Bacteria
Description: partial 16S ribosomal RNA
Rfam family: Bacterial small subunit ribosomal RNA
Source: RNAcentral